UACGAGGGGGGCGAGCGUUGUUCGGAAUUAUUGGGAGUAAAGGGUGCGUAGGCGGUUUGGUAAGUCUCUUGUGAAAUCUAUGGGCUCAACUCAUAGUCUGCAAGGGAAACUGCCGGGCUUGAGUGUGGGAGAGGUGAGUGGAAUUUCCGGUGUAGCGGUGAAAUGCGUAGAUAUCGGAAGGAACACCUGUGGCGAAAGCGGCUCACUGGACCACAACUGACGCUGAUGCACGAAAGCUAGGGGAGCAAACAGG
This 253-nucleotide ribosomal RNA is filed under the name uncultured bacterium. Its description in RNAcentral is "partial 16S ribosomal RNA". It matches the Rfam family "Bacterial small subunit ribosomal RNA", at positions 524 to 776 of the family's 1533-position model. The record is from RNAcentral.